This 303-nucleotide unclassified non-coding RNA is filed under the name plant metagenome. RNAcentral's name for it is "partial contains 5.8S ribosomal RNA, internal transcribed spacer 2, and large subunit ribosomal RNA". The stretch from base 1 to 105 matches the Rfam family "5.8S ribosomal RNA", at positions 50 to 154 of the family's 154-position model. The record is from RNAcentral.
GAAAUGCGAUAAGUAAUGUGAAUUGCAGAAUUCAGUGAAUCAUCGAAUCUUUGAACGCACAAUGCGCCCGCCAGUAUUCUGGCGGGCAUGCCUGUUCGAGCGUCAUUUCAACCAUCAAGCCCCGCGCUUGUGUUGGGGACCUGCGGCUGCCGCAGGCCCUGAAAACCAGUGGCGGGCUCGCUGUCACACCGGGCGUAGUAGAUUUUAUCUCGCUCAGGGCGUGCUGCGGGUUCCGGCCGUUAAAAAGCCUUUUUUACCCAAGGUUGACCUCGGAUCAGGUAGGAAGACCCGCUGAACUUAAGC